UGUGCUAUAGCUCAGUGGUAAAGCACAUGCUUAGCAUACAUGAGGGCCUGGGUUCUGUCCAUGGUACCACAA
Molecule: transfer RNA, 72 nt
Filed under: Marmota marmota marmota (Alpine marmot)
Lineage: Eukaryota; Metazoa; Chordata; Mammalia; Rodentia; Sciuridae
Also listed under: 4 other names
Rfam family: tRNA
About the family: Transfer RNA (tRNA) molecules are approximately 80 nucleotides in length. Their secondary structure includes four short double-helical elements and three loops (D, anti-codon, and T loops).
Source: Rfam by way of RNAcentral